ACGAACGCUGGCGGCAGGCCUAACACAUGCAAGUCGAACGAGAAGCCACCUUCGGGUGGUGGAAAGUGGCAGACGGGUGAGUAACGCGUGGGAAUCUACCCAGUGGUACGGAAUAACCCAGGGAAACUUGGGCUAAUACCGUAUGUGCCCGAAAGGGGAAAGAUUUAUCGCCAUUGGAUGAGCCCGCGUCUGAUUAGCUAGUUGGUGGGGUAAAAGCCUACCAAGGCGACGAUCAGUAGCUGGUCUGAGAGGAUGAUCAGCCACACUGGGACUGAGACACGGCCCAGACUCCUACGGGAGGCAGCAGUGGGGAAUAUUGGACAAUGGGCGAAAGCCUGAUCCAGCCAUGCCGCGUGAGUGAUGAAGGCCCUAGGGUUGUAAAGCUCUUUCGGCGGGGACGAUAAUGACGGUACCCGCAGAAGAAGCCCCGGCUAACUUCGU
This 441-nucleotide ribosomal RNA is filed under the name uncultured bacterium. Its description in RNAcentral is "bacterial SSU rRNA". It matches the Rfam family "Bacterial small subunit ribosomal RNA", at positions 29 to 506 of the family's 1533-position model. The record is from RNAcentral.